Molecule: ribosomal RNA, 1392 nt
Filed under: Campylobacter jejuni
Lineage: Bacteria; Pseudomonadati; Campylobacterota; Epsilonproteobacteria; Campylobacterales; Campylobacteraceae
Description: partial 23S ribosomal RNA
Rfam family: Bacterial large subunit ribosomal RNA
Source: RNAcentral
CCGGGUCGACCACGAUCCAACCCUAAAUACUAAUACCAGAUCGAUAGUGCACAAGUACCGUGAGGGAAAGGUGAAAAGAACUGAGGUGAUCAGAGUGAAAUAGAACCUGAAACCAUUUGCUUACAAUCAUUCAGAGCACUAUGUAGCAAUACAGUGUGAUGGACUGCCUUUUGCAUAAUGAGCCUGCGAGUUGUGGUGUCUGGCAAGGUUAAGCAAACGCGAAGCCGUAGCGAAAGCGAGUCUGAAUAGGGCGCUUAGUCAGAUGCUGCAGACCCGAAACGAAGUGAUCUAUCCAUGAGCAAGUUGAAGCUAGUGUAAGAACUAGUGGAGGACUGAACCCAUAGGCGUUGAAAAGCCCCGGGAUGACUUGUGGAUAGGGGUGAAAGGCCAAUCAAACUUCGUGAUAGCUGGUUCUCUCCGAAAUAUAUUUAGGUAUAGCGUUGUGUCGUAAUAUAAGGGGGUAGAGCACUGAAUGGGCUAGGGCAUACACCAAUGUACCAAACCCUAUCAAACUCCGAAUACCUUAUAUGUAAUCACAGCAGUCAGGCGGCGAGUGAUAAAAUCCGUCGUCAAGAGGGAAACAACCCAGACUACCAGCUAAGGUCCCUAAAUCUUACUUAAGUGGAAAACGAUGUGAAGUUACUUAAACAACCAGGAGGUUGGCUUAGAAGCAGCCAUCCUUUAAAGAAAGCGUAAUAGCUCACUGGUCUAGUGAUUUUGCGCGGAAAAUAUAACGGGGCUAAAGUAAGUACCGAAGCUGUAGACUUGCACACAACUUAGAUUAUUUAAGUUUAGAAUAAGUAGUUUAAGUUGUGUGCAAGUGGUAGGAGAGCGUUCUAUUUGCGUCGAAGGUAUACCGGUAAGGAGUGCUGGAGCGAAUAGAAGUGAGCAUGCAGGCAUGAGUAGCGAUAAUUAAUGUGAGAAUCAUUAACGCCGUAAACCCAAGGUUUCCUACGCGAUGCUCGUCAUCGUAGGGUUAGUCGGGUCCUAAGUCGAGUCCGAAAGGGGUAGACGAUGGCAAAUUGGUUAAUAUUCCAAUACCAACAUUAGUGUGCGAUGGAAGGACGCUUAGGGCUAAGGGGGCUAGCGGAUGGAAGUGCUAGUCUAAGGUUGUAGGAGGUUAUACAGGCAAAUCCGUAUAACAAUACUCCGAGAACUGAAAGGCUUUUUGAAGUCUUCGGAUGGAUAGAAGAACCCCUGAUGCCGUCGAGCCAAGAAAAGUUUCUAAGUUUAGCUAAUGUUGCCCGUACCGUAAACCGACACAGGUGGGUGGGAUGAGUAUUCUAAGGCGCGUGGAAGAACUCUCUUUAAGGAACUCUGCAAAAUAGCACCGUAUCUUCGGUAUAAGGUGUGGUUAGCUUCGUACUAGGAUUUACUCCGAAAGCGAAGAAA